RNAcentral lists this unclassified non-coding RNA (1510 nucleotides) under uncultured fungus. Its description in RNAcentral is "sequence contains 18S rRNA gene, ITS1, 5.8S rRNA gene, ITS2, 28S rRNA gene". The stretch from base 584 to 1510 matches the Rfam family "Eukaryotic large subunit ribosomal RNA", at positions 1 to 961 of the family's 3401-position model. The record is from RNAcentral. Lineage: Eukaryota; Fungi.
GGAAGGAUCAUUGAAUCUAUCAAUACCAACACUGUGAACCAUUUUGUCUGGCCCAUCGAACCUAGUUCGAUGCUUCCUGGGUGGCUUUAAUUAGCUGCUUGGGUUGGGUCCGAAACUUGUUUCGGGCCGGCCCUUACUAACUUUAACACCAAACAAACAAACCUAAAGCAAUAAGUGUAUUCGGCCUAGCCGAUGCAUCCAAACUAAGACAACUCUCAACAACGGAUAUCUUGGCUCUCGCAACGAUGAAGAACGCAGCGAAAUGCGAUACGUAGUGUGAAUUGCAGAAUUCCGUGAACCAUCGAAUCUUUGAACGCAUAUUGCGCUCGAGGCUUCGGCCAAGAGCAUGUCUGCCUCAGCGUCGGGUUAAUAUCACUCAACCAAUCCCUUGGGAUUAAUCGAGUGGACCUGGCUGUUCCAGAGGUUGCUCGAACUUCGGUUCGACCAAAGCUGGAUCAGCUGAAGAUCAGAGGUUAGCUCAAGGACCCGUUAAGGGCCGCAAUUGGGUAGGCAGUUUUCUGCUUCUAAUUGUUGGCUUGGGACCAUUUGCUCGACCCUCAAUCAGGAAUUAACCUUAUUUUCUCGACCUGAGCUCAGGCAAGAACACCCGCUGAACUUAAGCAUAUCAAUAAGCGGAGGAAAAGAAACUAACAAGGAUUCCCUUAGUAACGGCGAGUGAAACGGGAAUAGCCCAACUUGAAAAUCUCCCUUUGGAGAAUUGUAGUCUAUAGAAGCGCCCUCUGUGGCGGCCGGAGCCCAAGUCCACUGGAAAGUGGCGUCAGAGAGGGUGAGAACCCCGUCGGCUCUAGGCUUAGCUGCUCCACGAGGUGCUUUCCACGAGUCGGGUUGUUUGAGAAUGCAGCCCAAAAUUGGAGGUAAAUCCCUUCUAAGGCUAAAUAUUGGCGAGAGACCGAUAGCGAACAAGUACCGUGAGGGAAAGAUGAAAAGAACUUUGAAAAGAGAGUUAAAAAGUGCUUGAAAUUGUUGAGAGGGAAGCGAUUAGAGGCUGUGGGUGCGCCUAGGCUUAUGUGUCUCUAACGAGCCGCUGUAUGUGCUAGGUGCUGGUCAGCAUGGGUUAGCCUGGCGGGAUAAAAGCGGGGGUUGAUACCUCGUCUAUGCCGCCGGGUUGACCAAGGUGUGAAUGGCGCUCUGUCCUUCGGGAACUGCGUCAUCAAGAUGCUGGCAGAAGGUUUCUAAUCGGCCCGUCUUGAAACACGGACCAAGGAGUCUAACAUGUAUGCGAGUUGGUGGGUGGUAAACCCAUGAAGCGCAAGUAACCUGACUGGUGGGAUGGCCUGUGCCUGCACCAUCGACCGACCAUGAUCUUCUGUGAAAGGUUUGAGUGCGAGCAUACCUGUUGGGACCCGAAAGAUGGUGAACUAUGCCUGAGCAGGGUGAAGCCAGAGGAAACUCUGGUGGAGGCUCGUAGAUGUGCUGACGUGCAAAUCGCUUUUCGGACUUGGGUAUAGGGGCGAAAGACUAAUCGAACCAUCUAGUAGCUGGUUCCCUC